Macaca fascicularis (crab-eating macaque) is the source of this 2367-nucleotide long non-coding RNA. NCBI's taxonomy places the organism in Eukaryota, Metazoa, Chordata, Mammalia, Primates, Cercopithecidae. The record is from Ensembl.
UUUUUUUUUUUUUUUACUUUUUAAACAUUUUUUUUGUGAAAAACUAAAGCACAAACACACACAUUAGCCUAGGCCUACACAGACUCAGGAUCAUCAAUACCCCUGUGUCCCACCUUGACAUCUUCUCCCACUGGAAGGUCUUCAGGGACAAUAACAUGCAUGGAGCUGUCAUCUCCUAUGAUAACGAUGCCUUCUUCUGGAUAUCUUUUGAAGGACCUGCCUGAGGCUGUUUUACAGUUAACCUCUAUUUUAUAAGUAGAAGGUGUACACUCUAAAGUAUGAUUAAAAAUAAAUACGUAAACCAGUAACAUAGUUGUUCAUUACUAUUAUCAAGUAUUAUAUAUGUUACAUAAUUGUUUAUGUUGCAUAAUUGUAUGUGUUACACUUUUAUAUGACUAUGACUGGCAGCACAGUACAUUUGUUUACACUAACAUCACAGAUUUGAAUAAUGUGCUACCACAUUACAACAGAUACAAAGUCAUUAGGUGAUAGGAAUUUUUCAGCCCUAUUAUAAUCUUAUGGGACCACCAUUGUAAAUGCAGUUCAUUGUUGACCACAACAUAGCAAAAAAGUGCAUUACUCCUUUCAGUAUGUAGUUUACAAGACUCGAGCCUGGUUUAUAGAUGGUUCUAUAUGAUAUGCAAGGACCACCUGAAAGUGGACAGCUCUAGCACUGCGUCUCUUCUCCAGGUCAUCCCUGAAGGACACUGUUGGACCAAAAUUUUCCCAGCUGGCAAAACAUCUUGUUAUGCACCUAGUUGUGCACAUUGCUUGGAAAGAGAAACAGUCAGAUGUGAGAUUAAAUUCCAAUUAAUGGGCUAUAGCCAAUGGUUUGGUUGGAUGGUCAGGGCCUAGGAAGGAAUAUGAUUGAAAAAUAAGUGGUAAAGAAAUCUGGGGAAAAAGUAUGUGGAGAGACCUCUCAACAGACCAAAACCCCCCAAAACCCAUGAAGAUACAUGUGUCCUAUAUAAAUGCUCAACAAUAGGUAGACUCAGCAGAUGAAGAUUUUAAUAAUCAAGUGAGUAGGAUGACCCUUUCUAAGAAUAUCAGUGAGAUUUUCCCUGGUCAGCCCUGUCACCGCCCAAUGGACUCAUGAAAAACGUGGCUGUGGUGGGAGAGAUAUAGGUUAUGCAUGGACUCAGCAACAUAGACUUCUGCCCACCAAGGCUGACCUGAAUAUGGCCACUGCCGAGUGACCAAUCUACCAGCAGCAGAGACCAACACAGAACCCCUGGUAAUGUCACAGUUUCUUGGGGAGAUCAGCCAGCUACCAGGUGGCAGAUUGGUUAUAUGGGAUCACUUCCAUCAUGGAAGGGGCAGCCUUACUGACUAGACACUCUGGAUAUGGGUUUACAAGUUUGCUUUCUUUGCAAUGUUUCUGACAAAACUACCAUCUAUUUACUUGCAAAAUGCCUUAUCUAUUAUCACGGUUCUUCACACAGCAUCAUUUCUGAUCAAUGAACACACUACAGCAAAAGAAGAAUGAUAGUGAGCCCAUGCUCAUAAAAUUCAUUGGUCUUACCAUGUUCCCCAUCAUCCUGAAGCAGGUGGCUUGAUAGAACAGUGAAAUGGCCUAUUGAAGACUCAAUUACAGUGCCAGCUAGGUGCAAUAUAUUGCAGAGCUGGAGCAAGAUUCUUCAGGAGGCUGUAUAUGCUCUGAAUCAUCAUUCAAUGUAAAGUGCUGUUUCUCCAACAGCUAGGUCCAGAAUCAGUGGGGAAAUGGGAGUGGCAUCAUUCACCAUCACCUCUAGAGGCUCACCAAAAAAGUUUUGUUCCCUGUUCUCAAGAAUUUAUGCUCUGCUGGUCUAGAGGUCUUAGUUCCAGAGGGAAGAAUGCUUCCACCAGGGGACGCAACAAUAAUUUCAUUGAACUGGAAAUUAAGACCAACACUAGACCACUUUCAACUUCUAAUGCUUCUGAGUCAACAGGCCUAGAAGAGAGUUGUGGUGUUGACUGAGGUUAUUGAUACAGUCUGUCAAGGGAAAUGGACUACCACUCCACAAUGGUAGUAAGUAGGAGAAUGCGUGAAACACAGGAGAUCCCUUAAGGUGUCUCUUAAUAUUAUCAUGCCCUGUUAUUAAAGUGAGUGAAAAUUACAACAACCCAACUAGGCAGGACUACUCAUGCCUCAAAACAUUAUUACUUUUUGUCUGUGAGGGAGUUUCUGGAAGAGAUUAGCAUUUAAAUCAGUAUACUGAAUAAAGAAGAUCAGCCUCAACAAUGUGGGCAGACAUCAUCCAAUCCGUUUGGGGCCCAAAUAGAAUACAAGCACAAGGUAGGGGGAAGGGUAAAACUGCUCUCUUUGAGCUGGAACAUCAUCUUUUCUGCGCUCAGAUGCUUCUGGUUUUCAGGCCUUCAUAUUUGGGC